This 616-nucleotide ribosomal RNA is filed under the name uncultured Legionella sp. Its description in RNAcentral is "bacterial SSU rRNA". It matches the Rfam family "Bacterial small subunit ribosomal RNA", at positions 242 to 849 of the family's 1533-position model. Lineage: Bacteria; Pseudomonadati; Pseudomonadota; Gammaproteobacteria; Legionellales; Legionellaceae. The record is from RNAcentral.
UAGCUAGUUGGAGGGGUAAAGGCCCACCAAGGCGACGAUCGGUAGCUGGUCUGAGAGGACGAACAGCCACACUGGGACUGAGACACGGCCCAGACUCCUACGGGAGGCAGCAGUGGGGAAUAUUGGACAAUGGGGGGAACCCUGAUCCAGCAAUGCCGCGUGUGUGAAGAAGGCCUGAGGGUUGUAAAGCACUUUCAGUGGGGAGGAGGGUUUAUAGGUUAAGAGCUGAUAAACUGGACGUUACCCACAGAAGAAGCACCGGCUAACUCCGUGCCAGCAGCCGCGGUAAUACGGAGGGUGCGAGCGUUAAUCGGAAUUACUGGGCGUAAAGGGUGCGUAGGUGGUUAAUUAAGUUAGGUGUAAAAUCCCUGGGCUUAACCUAGGAAUGAGAUUUAAUACUGAUUAACUGGAGUAUUGGAGAGGGUAGUGGAAUUUCCGGUGUAGCGGUGAAAUGUGUAGAGAUCGGAAGGAACACCAGUGGCGAAGGCGGCUACCUGGCCAGAUACUGACACUGAAGCACGAAAGCGUGGGGAGCAAACAGGAUUAGAUACCCCGGUAGUCCACGCUGUAAACGAUGUCAACUAGCCGUUGGUCAUAUUAAGAUGAUAAGUGGCGC